CUAGGAUGAACGCUGGCGGCGUGCUUAACACAUGCAAGUCGAACGAAGCAACUAUCUUGCUUGCAAGAGAGUUGACUUAGUGGCGGACGGGUGAGUAACGCGUGGGUAACCUGCCUCGAUACAGGGGGAUAACAGUUGGAAACGACUGCUAAGACCGCAUAACCCGCUAGUGUCGCAUGACACGGACGGAAAAUAUUUAUAGGUAUGAGAUGGGCCCGCGUCUGAUUAGCUAGUUGGUAAGGUAACGGCUUACCAAGGCGACGAUCAGUAGCCGACUUGAGAGAGUGAUCGGCCACAUUGGGACUGAGACACGGCCCAAACUCCUACGGGAGGCAGCAGUGGGGAAUAUUGGACAAUGGGGGAAACCCUGAUCCAGCGAACCGCCGCGUGAGUGAAGAAGUAUUUCGGUAUGUAAAGCUCUAUCAGCAGGGAAGAUAAUGACAGUACCUGACUAAGAAGCCCCGGCCUAACUACGUGCCAGCCGCUGC
RNAcentral lists this ribosomal RNA (488 nucleotides) under uncultured bacterium. RNAcentral describes it as "bacterial SSU rRNA". It matches the Rfam family "Bacterial small subunit ribosomal RNA", at positions 26 to 518 of the family's 1533-position model. The record is from RNAcentral.